GAUGAAGAACGCAGCGAAAUGCGAAAAGUAAUGUGAAUUGCAGAAUUCAGUGAACCAUCGAAUCUUUGAACGCACAUUGCGCCCGCUGGAACUCCGGCGGGCACGCCUGUCCGAGCGUCAUUUCAACCCUCAGGCCCCCCUUCGCGGGCGGGCCUGGUGUUGGGGCCCGGCCGCUACCCUGCGGCCGUCCCCUAAAUCCAGUGGCGGCCUCGCCGUGAUCCCUUGCGUAGUAAUGCACCUCGCACCGGAGAGCGCCGUGGCCACGCCGUAAAACCCCCAAUUUUCAAUGGUUGACCUCGGGUCAGGUGGGAAUACCCGCUGAACUUAAGCAUAUCAAUAAGCGGAGGA
RNAcentral lists this unclassified non-coding RNA (348 nucleotides) under soil metagenome. RNAcentral's name for it is "partial contains 5.8S ribosomal RNA, internal transcribed spacer 2, and large subunit ribosomal RNA". The stretch from base 1 to 120 matches the Rfam family "5.8S ribosomal RNA", at positions 35 to 154 of the family's 154-position model. The record is from RNAcentral.